GGGUCAGGAGGUUGGUCGUGCCACCGGUACGUACUGGUCUCACUGAUUCCUCCUUCCUGAAGAACCGUAAUGCCAUUAAUUUGGUUUUGCGGGGAAACAGGACUGUUACUUUGAAAAAAUUAGAGUGUUUAAAGCAAGCUAACGCUUGAAUACAUUAGCAUGGGAUAAUGAAAUAGGACGAUCGAUCCUAUUUUGUUGGUUUCUAGGAUUGACGUA
Molecule: ribosomal RNA, 216 nt
Filed under: Glomeromycotina sp.
Lineage: Eukaryota; Fungi; Glomeromycota
Description: partial small subunit ribosomal RNA
Rfam family: Eukaryotic small subunit ribosomal RNA (bases 40-216)
Source: RNAcentral